CCUACGGGUGGCAGCAGUGAGGAAUAUUGGUCAAUGGCCGGAAGGCUGAACCAGCCAUGCCGCGUGAAGGUCAGUGCCCUAUGGGCGUUAAACUUCUUUUGUGCGGGAGCAAUAAUGGUCACGUGUGGCCAGACGAGAGUACCGUACGAAUAAGCAUCGGCUAACUCCGUGCCAGCAGCCGCGGGAAUACGGGGGAUGCAAGCGUUAUCCGGAUUUAUUGGGGUUAAAGGGUGCGUAGGCUGUGAGGUAAGUCAGCGGUGAAAUGCCCCCGCUCAAAGGGGUGAAGUGCCAUGGAUACUGCCUUGCUGGAAUGCGGAUGCCGUGGGAGGAAUGUGUGGUGUAGCGGUGAAAUGCAUAGAUAUCACACAGAACCCCGAUUGCGAAGGCAUCUCACGAAUCCGCGAUUGACGCUGAUGCACGAAAGCGUGGGUAUCAAACAGGAUUAGAUACCCGAGUAGUC
RNAcentral lists this ribosomal RNA (460 nucleotides) under uncultured bacterium. RNAcentral's name for it is "partial 16S ribosomal RNA". It matches the Rfam family "Bacterial small subunit ribosomal RNA", at positions 338 to 795 of the family's 1533-position model. The record is from RNAcentral.